RNAcentral lists this ribosomal RNA (301 nucleotides) under uncultured bacterium. RNAcentral's name for it is "partial 16S ribosomal RNA". It matches the Rfam family "Bacterial small subunit ribosomal RNA", at positions 509 to 807 of the family's 1533-position model. The record is from RNAcentral.
CAGUCGCCACGGGAACACGUAGGGUGCGAGCGUUACCCGGAUUUACUGGGCGUAAAGGGCGUGUAGGCGGCCUGGGGCGUCCCAUGUGAAAGGCCACGGCUCAACCGUGGAGGAGCGUGGGAUACGCUCAGGCUAGAGGGUGGGAGAGGGUGGUGGAAUUCCCGGAGUAGCGGUGAAAUGCGCAGAUACCGGGAGGAACGCCGAUGGCGAAGGCAGCCACCUGGUCCACUUCUGACGCUGAGGCGCGAAAGCGUGGGAAGCAAACCGGAUUAGAUACCCGCGUAGUCCCUGUCUCUUAUAC